UCCGGUGGCUAUAGAGAGGGGGAAACGCCUUGCUCCAUUUCGAACCAAGAAGCUAAGACCCUCAUCGCCGAUAAUACUGCACCUUACUGGUGUGGGAAUGUAGGUCGCUGCCGGUU
Molecule: ribosomal RNA, 116 nt
Filed under: Sulfurospirillum sp.
Lineage: Bacteria; Pseudomonadati; Campylobacterota; Epsilonproteobacteria; Campylobacterales; Sulfurospirillaceae
Source: RNAcentral